GACAACUGCUCCGGGAAAUGGAGCGCCCUCGUCGAUUGCUUGGCUCUCAAGACCAAGCGAGCGUCCGACGUUCAGGUCAGCAAUUACUUCAUCCUUGUACCGUCGCUCACCUCAUUUCCAAACCUUAAUUGAAUUAGGCUCAUUUGCGGAUAGUGCAUUCUGGACUUGAAAUCGCGAUCGAUGUGGUCGGGCGUCCUUCGCGAGACGUGAAGAUUGCUGUCGUGAGAGGGCUUUUGGUGGUUUUAGGCUUCUCUUUGUUAUGUCAGGAGUAGUGUAACUGAUAAAAUGGGGCCUUGGAAGUGAGUAAGGAAUGAAGCAUUUAGUCUUCAAAAAGAAUGGAAUACCACUAAUUGCGACUCCGAGCCCGUGAUUUCGCUCUUGGAACCGUCAGAUACAAAAGGCACCCUAGUCUAGAAAUAGAUCUAAUUGUCUCAAAGAGUCGGAGAAAUACUUGUUUGAUGAUUUCAGGAACUUAACAAAGUAAAGAUGAUUGGAUUGGAUUCGAGUUAAAAUAGAGGGAGGGGAAAAGAGUGAGCAUAAGUGCGGAUUGGUGGCAGUUAAUGUCACAUCAAUCAGGCUCAUUUAGGGUGGACUGCAUAUUCUUAGAUGAUUUUUCUAUCAUUAUGGCUUGGAGACUUGCUUGUUGGUUCCUCCUUGACUCGUGAUGGUGAAUGCUGGUAUCCUUCUGCAGUUGCUUGUUUCAUUGCCAUGUUCACUAAUGCUCUUGGGUCCUCAUCCUUUAAAGAAAUUAAGCAGUACACUUAAUGAAUCAUCUUUCUAUUUUUUCUUACGUUUAAAUCCUCCUUUGUUUAACAUUCCACAGAUAGUCUAGUUAUAGCUAGAUAAGGACGUUGAAGAACUCCUCCGUCUUUCUUUUCUUUCUCCCCUGAAAGAGCUGGAAGCUGGUUGGUUUUGUGAAAGCGGUUGGAUAUAUGGCUUUAGGUUUGACGAGAAGCACUUGUAUAGUCCCCCUGAUUUAAUAAUGACUUAUAAAGAUUUAAGAAUUAGAAUGAUGCUAGAGAGGUUUGAUUCCUUUCCAUUCCAUCAUGUUCUGUUGUACACCCUUUUGAGCUAGUUUCUUUCUCCCAUUUUAACUGGUGAACUCCUGGCUUUCUUGGGUUGUUUUGGUGGAGCUUUAUCUCUGUAUGAUGGUAAAUCUUCAAUCGAGGAGCAUGACCGUAGGAUUUCCAAAUACCGGGUGUUUGCUCCCCUACUUUUAAAAAUUUGCAUUGAAGUGUGUAAAUUUUCUUUCUUCUCUGUCAUCUUUUCUACUAAAAGGAUGGCCAUUGAACCUUUAGUUGCUUAUGAAAAUGCAAAUAUCAUGUGUCACUUGGUGGACCUAGUUUUGACAGUGUGAAGAAAUCACUGCAUGCACAACUGAUACCCAGAGUUUUGCUAGAGUAAAGGAGUAGAAAUGCACUUCUUUUAGUAAAAGUUUGGUGAAUCCAUAUUCCAAAAGAGAACAGUGAAUGCUCUCUUGUCAUGUGGACUGUAAGAGGGGGAUAACCCGGCCUCCAUGGACAGGAAGUCCAUACUAUUUAUAGAGAUCUUGCCAUCUGUUCUAAUGCUUCCAUUGCCAAGAGUCGGAAUUAAAGUUUCUCCUGCAUAUUGCAGGACAAAUUUCAUUUAGCAACUCGGGAAAAACCUCCACUUAGUUAAUAUCAUCAUUUCCUGCUCCUGUGAUGCAACUAGCUAAAAACUGUUCUGCUGAAUUACACUGUCACACCUUUUCCUUGUCGUCAUGGGUUAUGGUGAAAGUUCAAUUCGAGACAAUUGGCUUGCUCCUUAUGCUGUUUAACCUAAUCAGAAAUUCACUUAUAAGAAUUUAUCUGUCUCUUUUAUGUUGAAACUAAUUGGGGAUUGGAAUAUUUCACAGGAAAUCUUGGAAACCCGCGAGAAAGCCAAGCAUCAUAUCUGGACUAUCCGGACGCCUGAGGAAGCUUCGUCUCAUUGGAAAGAGUUGUUUGCACAUCUGGAUGAGCCGGAAUGAAGAAGCCUAGUUCUGUUCGAUGUCACCUUUGUCUUCUCGAUCCUUCUCAUUCAAAUGCUGUUUGUGCAUUCAGAAUUUUCAUUUUGCGAAAUUGAAUUGAUUCAUAAUGUUGAGGGAGAAAGAGAUGCCGGCGUCAAAGAGCCAAAUGAUGGAUAGACAACUAUGAGUAUGGCCAGGGACUCCGAAAUGAUCGUGGCAGAUUGGUCUUUCACCGUAUCACUGACCAUCUAUAGAAUAAUAUCUGUGGGUGAUCGAUCAGCUUUUUUGGUGGACAAGAUAAGAGAGAGUAUAUUUGUUCCCUAAAUUUAUGCCAUUUUCGUGGAUCUUUUCAUUGCAAAUGCAUUCAAAGAAGUUGAUAGGAUAUAAUAGGACGGGAUAAUGUUGAUCGGCUAUUAGAUUAUUUUCUAAAAUUAGUAAGAAAUAUUUAUCGAUUCAAUUCCAUUUGGUCAUUUAGAUUUUUACUUGGCAGAUGAAACACAAUUCUAAUAGCCAUUGGAAUCGACUAUGGGCUUGGCGGCUCGGCUAGUUGAGUCAAGCCACACGAGCCGAACUUAUAUGUUGCAUUUGGUCAUUUGGAUGUUUAUAUCGGAUAUGAUUAGGUAGGAUAGGAUAAAGAUCGGAUAUGAUAAUGAUGGGAUUUGUAAUACCUUAUACGGUGUUUGGUCGGCGCUCGGAUAUAAUAUAAAUAUAGACUCGCUCGAAGCAAAUCUCAAUCUUUUCCUCCUCCUUUGUCCGCCUCAAGCGACCUCUAGGGUUAGCCGCCACCUCUAGCUUCGAUGGAUACGAGCUUGUAGUCGCGACCUCUACUUUUGGCUGCGGUCGAUGUUGAGCGUGAACCCCACCCUCAUAUGACCCUAGCUCUAUGGUUCCUUGAGGCCGACAACCUUGUAUAUGAGGUUGUGAGCCUCAGAGUCGAGGUCUAAAGUAUUGGAUCGCGUUGAUCCAAUGGAUUAGACGUUUCUAGAUAUAGAGAGUGUGAGACAGGGGCUUGAUGGGUAAGCAACCUUGGACGUUGAACGAUGGCGGAGCUCACGGGCUGGUUUAAUCGUAGGAGAUGAUAAGAAUGCUAUGGAUGGUAAUCGUUGCUUGAUGUGCUCUUGCUCUUUUUCUCCUAUGUCGAUUGCAAUUUCACUUAGCAUGAGCAAACACUGCCUUCUCCUCCUACAUCGGUAACUUUCUGUCCUUUUUCUUUUCUUUUCAUUAUUUAUAAUACUUAUCCUAUUCGGCUAUAUGCCCAUUGUAAGUGGGAUUUAUUUAUCCGGAUUAUUUCUGGGUUAAUAUGGAGAAGUAUGGAAGUCAAGUCACUUCAAAACGCCAAUUAUCCUAUCCGAAGUAUAUUCAGGUGGUUUGGAAUUUCUUCAUCUGGCUUGGCUUGGCUUGCCUAGCUCAGGCCGGUCAUUUUCGCAAAUACAAAUUUCAUAUAUGGAUUGAUGAGGUACAUACGAGGUAUAGAUCUAUAAGUUCCUUGUCAUCGAAUCUAAUCCCUAAUUCAUCUAAUAGCCUGACCAUUUAUCCAUCUCUUAUUCUUGGCAAGAGCCAGCAAUGGAAACUCAUGCUCUUUCUAGAAAUUGCCAUUUUAUUUAAUUUAUUUUCCUCCCCAUUUUAUUUUUCUUUUGGGUUGCUCAAUACAGUCACAUCCCAAAAAAUUUCGCCAUGAUGCUUAUCCUAUCAUUCUACAAUUGGCAAUGGAUUUCCUCAUAAAUUCCGAUGGAUUUGUUACCAUAUUCGAUAAGUUGAAUGCCGAAAAAAGCAUGACUUUGGGUUACAUUUUGGAAAGUGAUAGUAUCUAGCUAUACCUCCCAAAGAAGGUGGGGAAUUAAAUGAAAACGAGUUGGCAAUUUCUAGGGGCAUUUUGGAAAUCUAGAAUCUAUCCCUAAUUCAACUAAUAACCUCUUGUUAUUGACAAGGGACAGCAAUGGAAACUCAUGCUUUUUCUGGAAAUUGCUAACUAUUUUCAAUUACUUUCCUCCUCUCCUUUUUUUUUGGGGAUAAUUUACUAGAAAUGGUCAUUUUCCAAAAUGCAACAGGAAUUCAUGCUUCUUUCGGCAUUCACUUAACGAAUAUGGUAAUAAAUCUAUCACGGUUUAUGAUGAAAUCCAAUCCUUUUGCCAAAUGCGGAAGGAUAGGAUAAGCAUCGGGGUGAGAUUUUUUGGAAAGUGGCCGUAUUCAGUAAAAUACCCAAAAAAAUGAAAUUGGGGAGGAAGGUAAUUGACAAUAGGUAGCAAUUUUCAGGGGCAUUUUGGGGAAUCCGAAAUAUCAACGGGUGUUUUUAGCUUAAAUAAAUUAAGCCCCCGACCCGGAGCUGCAUAUGCUCAAGUCUCCAAACGGGGUUAAAGCAAAAAAACUAGUCCGUCAGCAAGAAGCAGGUGAAUUUCCUUUUUCCUUUUUCUCUUUUUCCCCCGUUUUCUUCCGUUCCUGGCGCGUUUUGCAAGCUCGCUACUCGCUCAAAAAUGCCUUCGUCUCGUGCUCCUCUCGACUCGAGCGUUGAGCGGCGGCGGCGGGGCCGUUGUCGUCGGCGCCGUCGUCGACGGGCCGAGCGCGCAUCGUACGCACACGCUCACGGAAUGUUUUGAAUCCUUGCGCGCGAGCGCUUUCCCCUUUCUUUCUCCAAGCUCCGUUAACGAACGCUCGAGAAUGUCUCGCGCUGCUUCUGCUUCCAGGGCUCGACGCGGUGUGAAGGAUUCACGUCCAUGGAAAACGGAGCUUUCGCCGAGACAGGGUUGCUGGGUUCGCUGGUCGCGCCACAGGGGAGCGCGGGGCUCGGCGCGGCGGCAGGAGGAGAUCCUGGCGGUGCCGACGGAGGGAGGCCACAGUCUGAAGCGGGUGCGCGGGGAGCGGGUGCCGGCGUCGCUGGAGCUGUGCUCAGGAGGAGGAGAGGGAGGCCGAGGCAGGACGGACUCGGCCGAGGAGCCACGCGGUCGGCAUCCUCGUCUCGUGGCCUCCCGAGGCGGGGCUCGGCGAGCCGCGGCAGGGGGAGGCGCCGAGGUCCCUCCAGUGGAGUUCUGCAUGUCCCUCCCGUGGGUGAGUGAUCGCCGACACUUGAUUCGAAAACAGUCUUCUUUUCACGCAAUUUGUGCAUGCAAAUCUGCUUACUGUAACAAUUUGAGCAUGCUUCUUUAACACUCCUGAUAUUUAGACCUCUUCUGUGAAGUUGAAGGUCCACCGCCGGAAUUUACAGGAAGUUUUGAAGCUGAGGUGGUGACCAUACAUAGAGGGGAGGUGAGAUAUGGAUGUUUCCUAGAGUGUGUUUCUUUCCUGGUACACAUUGUAAUGUGACGGAUUCCAUACUAAAAAGAUUUGCGUUGUCUAUAGGAAAUCCUCGCCAAGCUAUCAGAUUUGAUCGAACCGGGCACUCGUUCGCUCUCCAUACUUUCGGCAGCUGGUUCUGUCUCCAGUGCCGUCGUGCGCCAGCUCGGGCCUCCGGCUGGUCUUUUGACUUACGAGGUAUUGGGUCAUUCCUCAUGCUGGGUCAUGUACCAAAAUCAUGAACAUCUGCAUUCCGUAUCUUAGUUAAUGGUCGAAGGGGUGCAUCCGCAACAUGAUAUGACUCUAUAAUUUGAGUCCUGUGUACUUAUAUAGUACACUGACGAAGCCGGUGCUUUCAUCUGGUCUUCCCUCUAUUAGUUGCAAAAUAGCCGCCAUUCAUCCUAAAUGGGCAUACGUAGUACAGAAGGGCUGCAUGAACUUCCUGCUGAGGACUAUUUGUAUUGUCGGGGAAACGGCCGAUCCUCCUUGCAGUUUUCCUUCUAUGAAGCAACAGUUUAUUUAUCUCUUAAACAACUUCCGGCCCUCUUUAUGACGGUUAAUCAUAGCAUUACUUUUCAACUGGUUGCUACCUUUGGAGUUUCUUUGAACAAGAUUUUACAAUUUCAACCGCUUUUUCAGUUUUCUAGAUUGGAAUGGCAAGUUUUGAAUGUGCUCUUAGCGAUAAGAGGUGCAGAUGAGGGAAAAACUCCGAAUACUCGUUACCAGAGGCACCUUUGUAUCGAUUUUGGUUCUCUAUCGAAGUUUUUUUUCUUUUCACGCUUAAUGCUAAACCAUUACCCACCAAAUCCUAUUAUCGUACGGAUGAGGAACAUUAAAUAGUAGAAAGAGCUACUGACUGCAAGGUUUAGUUUGGCUUUUUUAUGUUCUCCUUGUUGUGCAGGGUUGUUUCGAAAUCAUGGCCCUGAACGGCUCAUUUACAAUCUGGGAAGGCAGAAUUUCUACGCGCCCUGAAGAUAGCUUGGUCAGUGUCACGCUUGCUAGGCUUGAUGGUCAGGUUUUUGGCGGUGGAGUUGGGGGUGCAUUGACAGCUGCCGGCCCUACUCAGGUAAUGUUUUUAUAUUUGUCAUGUAAAGGGAAAUUGCCAAACUUUUAUCCCAUCAGUUACACCUUGUGACCUCUGGUCCUAAAUGGUAUCUUUCUCGAAGUUGCUCAUUUUAUCAAAAGCUAGAUCAACACACUAGAGUAGAUGUAGACUCUCUGUUGUUCUAUAUUGACUGAUAUGAGUUAGAUUUACUCUUAGGGUUCAUUUGUUUAGUGACAAACUGUUUUCGGCGUUUGGAUGACUAAAAACUAAUCGAUUUAUAGAAAAUGUUUUUCAUGGACUGGAAACAACAAGCUUAGAUUGAGGGGAAAUACUAUCUUUUGUCAUGAAAUUUUCAGUGAAACAAAUGAAACUUUAGUAUAAGUUUGUUGAUACAAUCAUAACAUGCGAGUAUAAUGGGCUUCAUUUAGCGCUUAUAUAUUGGUCAAAAUAUUUUUUAGCGGUAAGAAAAUUAAAAUUUUCAUUCCAUCGCUAUUUCAUAUGAAUUUGAGACACUGGUUUGUUUAUUUCAUUAGAUCGUAGUGGGCAUUUUUAAGGAUGCUGUGCGCAAUGAGCCUACAAGAGUGGAGUCCACCAAUCCUUAUGCAAGUGCGGCUAUCGGUGUCUCUGCAAAUCCACUUCAUGAAGUGAGACAGCCUGAGCAAAUUGCAAGAACGGCAGAAGUUGAUGACAAUAAUGGCGCUCCUGCCUCUGUGAUGCUGGAGCCAACUGACAAGGAAGCAAGGACUACUGUCACUUCCGGAAACGAUGAUGUGAACCCUGCUUCUCUUUGCGUUGAUGAGCAUUAUCCCUUGGGACUGGUGGAGGGACUGGUGGAGCCAAUGUUGGAUCGGAACAUGUUUUCUACGCACACCAAUGCUGAUGUCCCUGAACUGUGAUAAUGUUGUUCUCUCAGUUUGAGUGUGCAUUUAUCUAUCGCAACUAUAUAAGUUUGAUAUCAAAAGUCUCACUUCAAAAAUUGUCUCCGGCUAGCUUGGGAAAUGCCCUUUUACCUAUUUUCCCACUAGAAUGUUUGGCAAGACCUUAAGAAAAAGUAAGAGGGUAGGCGAAAGUUGGAGUAGUGAGCUUUUGAAUAUGACUCAUCUCAUUGGAACCAAAAGAUGAGUGUUGCAAGAAGUUAGCUAGCAAGAUUCAUUCUCACCCUAAAACCGAUAUUUCAUUCUCAUGUCAGUCUAACGUGACAUCGUGACAUGCUCAUCAAGUAAAUCGAUCGAGUUUGAUUGGAAUUCAUAGCACCUUGACUAUUUUCUUGGCGAUCGCCGAUUGAUCGAGAGUAGAACUCUUGGAGGGGUCGAGAUUAAACCUUAUCAGAAUAAAGAAAUUAUACAUAUAAUUUCUUUUGGUGAUAAAAAAUUUAGUUUGGGUUAAGUUAUCACAAAUUUAUCUGUUUGAGAUUUUCCAUUGUUUUAACUGAAAAAUAUAGUAGAAGUUUUUUAAUUUUUAUUUAUGGUUGUUCGGAAAAAAUAGUUGAAUGAGACUUACGAGCCUCUUGAGUCGAGUGUUAGCGAGCUCAAGCUCGACUUGAUAAAAUAUCAAGUAGCUCAAUGAACUGAACAUCGGAUGAGUUGAUCUCUGAGUAAUUGUGGAACUAAUUUUGAAUUACUUGCUCGUAGUUUGAUUCGACUCCAUUGUUACGUUGUGUGAUAGUUCCUUCACGUGUCAAUGGCUCACGGAGGAAACAAUCAAUAACAGGGGAGAGUUCUCAAAUUCAAGCAUCAGUUUGAACAAAAAACAAACAAUUAAUUGGUUAGUUACACCAUGCCCUUGAUGUCAAAAACAAAAUCGUAUUUAUAUAUUUUCUUCUAAGGUAGCACUUGGGGUAGCAAAAAGCUGGAUAGGAAAUGGAAUCUGACUUGGCUUAACGCCCCAAUCGAAUCCCCAGGCUACGACGGGUCUUCAAGAAAACCUCCCUCACCCUUGCAUUCCACAAUUGGCACAUGCGGAACGCUGACCCAGCGAUCAGUUUCCAAGGAAGUUUAGACAUUCUCCGGGAGCUUCUGUGUUGUGUUAAACAUUCUAAUAUGUGUCUUACAUUCUCCGACAUUUGGUUUUAAUGUGUCGGAAAAUCCGGCAUUAGAUCAAUUUUUUCAAUACUCUUUAAAACGUGAGUCUGGAAUUCGGACACACGGGUUUGAAAUUUCGACACAUAAUUCCAGCAUGCAUGAGACUAAUUUAAAAUUUUUUCAAUAAAUGAGAAAUCAAAAUGUAAAUAUAUAAAAAAUAAGAAAUAAUAAAAAUAAUAAAGUGGAAAAGAAGAAAAAUCUAGUCUUCUCUCUCUGUCUUUUUUUUUUUUUUUCUAGCUCUCACUUUUCGUGAUACACGAUUUAUCUCAAGUUUGUUUUACUCCUCUUUCGACAUGCUCUCAAGCGAGUUCAGAAUGUGAAUUGUUGGUUUUUUUCCUUUAAGUUUUAUGGAUUAUUGGAAUGGAGCUGAAUUUGUCAAAUUGAAAUAACAGAUGAUAUUAUCAAAUGGUGGAUUAAUGUUGUUGCUGUAAAUUUAUAUACAUAUAAUAUAUAAUGUGUCAGAAUUUUUUAUUUUUUGAGAAAUGACAUGUUAGCGUAUUACGUCUUGUCGUGUUGUAUGUAGCGUGUGUGGACAGCUUUCAUCAAGCAACUGGUUCGCUACCAAGGCGUCGGUGGACAAAGAAGCCUACUCUCUCUCUCUCUCUCUCUCUCUCUCUCAGAGGAUCUGCUUUUUCUUUGACCUUGCGUGCCUUGAAUUUGGCCUGUGAUUCUGUCGUUCCUUUUUCAUCUCCUUUUUAUUUGCGAUUUUGUAAUUCUUGGCAAUUCUGUUGCGACAGCUCCGGUCCAUCAGAUGCAGCAAUACUAUCGACUGGGGGUUCUUGACAUUGCUUCGGCAAAUGGAGCGCCCUCGUCAAUUGGUUGGCUCUCAAGACCAAGCGAGCGUCGGAGGUUCAGGUCAGCAAUUGCUUCAUCCUUAUAUCGUCGCUCACCUCAUUUCCUAACCUUAGUUGAAUUUGACUCAUUUGCGGAUAGUGCAAUCUGGGACUUGAAAUCACGGGGGAAGUGCGUGCGCGUCCUCUGCUAAACGUGAAGAUUUCUUUCAUGAGAGGUCUUUUGGUGGUUUUGGCUUCUUUAGUUAUGUCAAGAGUAGUAUAGCUGAAAAAAUGGGCUUGGCACUGAGUAAAGGAUGAAGCAUAUAGUCUUUCAAGUUAAUACUGGCCAUCAAAGAGAAUGAUAUACCACAAAUUGCGACUCCAAAUUGCUUCAAAAAGCAAUGACAUGAUUUUGCUUUUGGAACCAAUGGAUACAAAAGUCACCCUAUUCCAGAAAUAGAUCUAAUUGUCUCAAAGAAUUGGAGAAAUACUUGUAUAACGAUCUUGGGAACUUAACAAAGUAAAGAUGAUUGGAUUGGAUUCAAGUUAAAAUAGAUGAAGGGGAAAUGAGUGAGCAUUCGUGUGGAAGGUUGACAGUUCAUGUCACAUCACUCAGGCACAUUUAGGGUGGAUUACAUAUUCUUAGAUGAUUUUUCUAUAAUUAAGGCUUUGGGAUUUGCUUGUUUGGUUUCUCCUCGACGUGUGAUGGUGAAAGCUGAUAUUCUUCCGCAAUUGCUUGUUUCAUUGCCAUUUUUACUAAUUCCUCAUCCUUUUAAAGAAAUUAAGCAUUAUCUCUAAUGGAUCAUCUUUCUAUUCUUUCUUAUGUUUAAAUCCUCCUUUGUUUGACAUUCCACCGAUAUCUUGUCAUAGCUAGAUAAGGAUGUUGAAGAAAUCCCGUGUCUUUCUUUUCUUUCUCCCCUGAAGGAGCUGGGUGGUGGUUUGUUUGGUGAAAGCGGUUGAAUAUAUAACUUAAGGUUUGACGAGAAGUACUUGUAUAGUCCCCUGCUUUGGAAAUGACUUACAAAGAUUUUAAAACUAGAAUGAUGCUCGAGAGGCUGAAUUCCUUUCCAUUCCAAAAGUUCUGUUGUACACCCUUUUCGGCUACUUUCUUUCUCCUAUUUAAUUUGGUAAAUCUUCAAUCGAGGAGCAUAACCACAGGGUUUCCAAAUACCGGCCGUCUGCUCUUCUACUUUUAAAAAUUUGCAUUGAAGCGUGUAAAUUUUCUUUCUUCUCUGUCAUCUUUUCUACUGAAAGGAUGGCCAUUGAACCUUUAGUUACCUAUGAAAAUGCAAAUAUUAUGUGUCACUGGGUGGACUUAGCUUCGACAAUGUGAAGAAAAUCACCGCAUGCACUACAGAUACCCAGAUUUUGCUAAAGGAGUAGAAAUGCACUUCUCUUUUCACGCCUUUUCCCUUUUUGGAGGAUAAAAGUUUGGCGAAUCCUCAUUCCAAAAGAGAAUGGAGUAUGCUCUUUUGUCGUUAGGACUGUAAGUGGGGGAGAACCCGGCCUCCGUAGACAGGAAGUCCAUACUGUUUAUAGAGAUCUUACCAUCUGUUCUAAUGCUUCCUUCGCGAAGAGUUGAAAUGCUCACCCUUGUGCAUUAAAGUUUCUCCUCCAUAUCGUAGGAAAAAUUUCAUUUGGCAAGUCCCGGAAAAACCUCCACUUAGUUGAUAUCGUCGUUUCCUUGCUCCUGUUAUGCAACUAGCUAAAAAUUGUUAUGCUGAAUUACACUGUCACACCUUUUUUGUUGGGAGUGCACAGCAAAAGUCUAAUACAUUCUUCUGAGAAGAUCACCGAGAGGGAGCCUAAAUACGAGACCAUCAAUAUAUUCAAUUGGAUCCAUCUUCAUUCAAAAGUUUAAGCCGAUGAGUUAUGAGCCAAACGUGAUAUAUUAAGUGUUCUACACUACAUCAAUUUUCUGAUAUAUGACUUAUUUAACACAACUCACUUAUACGUGCAUCCUAACAUUUCCUUGUUGUUGAGGGUUAUUGUGAAAGUUCAGUUUGACACAAUUGGCUUGGUCUUUAUGCUGUUGAAACUAAUCAGAAAUUCGCUUAUAAGAAUCUAUCUGCCUCUUUUAUGUUGAAACUAAUUAGGGAUCGGAAUAAUUCACAGGAAAUCCUGGAAACUCGCGAGACAGCCAAGCAUUAUAUUUGGACUUUCCGAACGCCUGAGGAAGCUUCGUCUCACUGGAAAGAGUUGUUUGCACAUCUGGAUGAGCCAUAAUGAAAGAUGCCUGGUUCUGUUUGAUGUCAUGUUCGUCUUCUCGACCCUUCUCAUUCAAAUACUGUUUGUGCAUUCGGAAUUUUCAUUUUGCGAAAUUGAAUUGAUUGAUAAUGUUGAGGGAGAAAGAGAUACCGGCGUCAAAGAGCCAAAUGAUGGAUAGACAACUAUGAGUAUGGCCAGCGACUUCGAAAUUAUCAUGGUAGAUUGGUCUUUCACCGUAUCACUGACCAUCUAUAGACUAAUAUCUGUGGGUGAUCCAUCAGCUUUUUUGGUGGACAAGACAAGAGAGAGUAUAUUUGUUCCCUAAAUUCAUGCCAUUUUCGUGGAUCUUUUCAUUGCAAAUGCAUUCGAAGAAGUUGAUA
RNAcentral lists this long non-coding RNA (11723 nucleotides) under Eucalyptus grandis. RNAcentral describes it as "long non-coding RNA (EGRA_LNC005808)". The record is from RNAcentral. Lineage: Eukaryota; Viridiplantae; Streptophyta; Magnoliopsida; Myrtales; Myrtaceae.